RNAcentral lists this ribosomal RNA (539 nucleotides) under uncultured bacterium. RNAcentral describes it as "partial 16S ribosomal RNA". It matches the Rfam family "Bacterial small subunit ribosomal RNA", at positions 355 to 883 of the family's 1533-position model. The record is from RNAcentral.
UGGGGAAUUUUGGACAAUGGGCGAAAGCCUGAUCCAGCAAUGCCGCGUGUGUGAAGAAGGCCUUCGGGUUGUAAAGCACUUUUGUCCGGAAAGAAAUCCUUGGCUCUAAUACAGUCGGGGGGAUGACGGUACCGGAAGAAUAAGCACCGGCUAACUACGUGCCAGCAGCCGCGGUAAUACGUAGGGUGCAAGCGUUAAUCGGAAUUACUGGGCGUAAAGCGUGCGCAGGCGGUUUGCUAAGACCGAUGUGAAAUCCCCGGGCUCAACCUGGGAACUGCAUUGGUGACUGGCAGGCUAGAGUAUGGCAGAGGGGGGUAAAUUCCACGUGUAGCAGUGAAAUGCGUAGAGAUGUGGAGGAAUACCGAUGGCGAAGGCAGCCCCCCUGGGCCAAUACUGACGCUCAUGCACGAAAGCGUGGGGGAGCAAAACAGGAUUAGAUACCCUGGUAGUCCACGCCCUAAAGCGAUGUCAACUGUUGUUGGGGAUUCAUUUCCUUAGUAACGUAGCUAACGCGUGAAGUUGACCGCCUGGGGGAGUAC